CGUGCAGGCGGUCCGGUAAGUUGGAUGUGAAAUCUCCUGGCUCAACUGGGAGAGGACGUUCAAUACUGUCGGACUAGAGGACGGCAGAGGGAGGUGGAAUUCCCGGUGUAGUGGUGAAAUGCGUAGAUAUCGGGAGGAACACCAGUGGCGAAGGCGGCCUUCUGGGCCGCUCCUGACGCUCAGACGCGAAAGCUAGGGGAGCGAACGGGAUUAGAAACCCCGGUAGUCCUAGCUGUAAACGAUGUAGACUUGGCGUGGGUGGGGUAAAAUCCAUCGGUGCCGAAGCUAACGCGAUAAGUCUACCGCCUGGGGACUACGGCCGCAAGGUUAA
RNAcentral lists this ribosomal RNA (331 nucleotides) under uncultured bacterium. RNAcentral's name for it is "bacterial SSU rRNA". It matches the Rfam family "Bacterial small subunit ribosomal RNA", at positions 568 to 897 of the family's 1533-position model. The record is from RNAcentral.